RNAcentral lists this ribosomal RNA (429 nucleotides) under uncultured archaeon. RNAcentral describes it as "bacterial SSU rRNA". It matches the Rfam family "Archaeal small subunit ribosomal RNA", at positions 474 to 903 of the family's 1478-position model. The record is from RNAcentral.
UACCAGCUCUCCGAGUGGUAGGGAUGAUUAUUGAGCUUAAAGCGUCCGUAGCCGGCUUAGCAAGUCUCCUGUUAAAUUCAGCGACCUAAUCGUUGAGCCGCGGGAGAUACUACUAGGCUAGGAGGCGGGAGAGGUCAACGGUACUUCCGGGGUAGGGGUGAAAUCCUAUAAUCCCGGGAGGACCACCAGUGGCGAAGGCUGUUGACUAGAACGCGCUCGACGGUGAGGGACGAAAGCUGGGGGAGCGAACCGGAUUAGAUACCCGGGUAGUCCCAGCUGUAAACGAUGCGAGCUAGGUGUUGGGGUGGCUACGUGCCACUUCAGUGCCGCAGGGAAGCCAUUAAGCUCGCCGCCUGGGGAGUACGGCCGCAAGGCUGAAACUUAAAGGAAUUGGCGGGGGAGCACCACAAGGCGUGAAGCUUGCGGUUC